Mesocricetus auratus (golden hamster) is the source of this 1130-nucleotide non-coding RNA. The record is from the annotation of a RefSeq genome assembly. NCBI's taxonomy places the organism in Eukaryota, Metazoa, Chordata, Mammalia, Rodentia, Cricetidae.
GUCAUUUGCUUCAGAGUCCAUGUCCUUUCUACAACAGAGAAUCGGUGGUCCCCCUGAUUUGCUGAAUCUCGGUCAUGAAGCUCAGUUUACUAUGCAGUGCAGCAUUUUGUUUUCUGCAAGCAGGUCCAGCGAGUGCUGGCAUCAUUCAGACUCCCAGAUCAAUGCUCCUGAAGACAGGGCAGCAAGUGACGAUGAAAUGUACCCAGGACAUGAAACAUGACUGCAUGUUCUGGUACCGACAGGACCCAGGGCUGGGACUGAGGCUAAUCUACUACUCGUAUGAUGUUGGCAUCACUGACAAAGGAGAUGUCUCUGAGGGGUACAGCGUCUCCAGAUCGAACACAGAGGACUUCUCCCUCACUCUGGAGUCGGUUACCCACUCCCAGACAUCUGUAUACCUCUGCGCCAGCAGCUAUACCACAGAGCUGUGUUCCUGCCUCCUCUCUGCACACAAAGAUACAUGCAGAGAAAAGGCACCCGCCCACCCCUGGAACUCAGUGACAAGCUAGAAUUCUCAACGCUAGCACCUUGGAGCUCUGAGUGUUCUAGGCACUGCAAACCUGGGCAGUGCAAAUCUCAGUCUGUGCUGAGGGGCGUAGAUCUACUGGCAAGCUCAGGCAGGUUUGGACCAGACCUUGGACUCGGAGGUCUCCGCUGUUGCUGUCUUUCGACUGAUGCUUUAAUUCUGAUUUUUCUGGUCUUUAUCUUGAGUCUGAGUAUUCCUGGAUGGAAAGUGACUUGAAAUUUGGAUAUAUUUUUUUCCUUGACACAACAUUCCUGCCUUCUCCCUCUGGGAUUCAGCUCACAUAAUAGGAAUGGGAUGAUUGAACAGUUGCUUAGAUAGAGAGACCAACAGCAGAAGCACCUCAGGUUGUACUUUGCCCUGCCAGAGACGAAGUCUAACUCUGAGCAAGCAUAUCUCUUUUAUUACUGGGCUGUAGUGAGUCCUGGAAUGUGGUACCACAUUCUCUAGACCAAAUGGCCAGAGCAGGAGAAAGGUUUUCUUAAGUGCUUGCAUCCCGUGUCUUCUUACAGGUGAUUUUCUCAUGGGAAUUUAGAUAGACCUGAGACCCAUCCAGAGUGCCAUCUUUAGAGUUCUCUUCCAUUGAGACCACUUAUGAUACCAAUAC